Molecule: ribosomal RNA, 433 nt
Filed under: uncultured bacterium
Lineage: Bacteria
Description: partial 16S ribosomal RNA
Rfam family: Bacterial small subunit ribosomal RNA
Source: RNAcentral
AACGAACGCUGGCGGCAUGCCUAACACAUGCAAGUCGAACGAGACCUUCGGGUAUAGUGGCGCACGGGUGCGUAACGCGUGGGAACCUGCCCUUAGGUUCGGAAUAACUCCCCGAAAGGGGUGCUAAUACCGGAUAAUGUCUUCGGACCAAAGAUUUAUCGCCUUUGGAUGGGCCCGCGUUGGUUUAGCUAGUUGGUAGGGUAAAAGCCUACCAAGGCGCCGAUCCAUAGCUGGUCUGAGAGGAUGCUCAGCCACACUGGGACUGAGACACGGCCCAGAAUCCUACGGGAGGCAGCAGUGGGGAAUAUUGGACAAGGGGCGAAAGCCUGAUCGAGCAAGGCCGCGUGAGUGAUGAAGGCCGUAGGGUUGUAAAGCUCUUUUACACGUGAUGAUAAUGACAGUACCGGGAGAAUAAGCUCCGGCUAACUCCGUG